GGGGCUAUAGCUCAGCCGGUUAGAGCGCAUCCCUGAUAAGGAUGAGGUCGCUGGUUCGAUUCCAGCUAGCCCCA
Molecule: transfer RNA, 74 nt
Filed under: Actinomycetes bacterium
Lineage: Bacteria; Bacillati; Actinomycetota; Actinomycetes
Also listed under: 1 other name
Description: Actinobacteria bacterium tRNA-Ile
Rfam family: tRNA
About the family: Transfer RNA (tRNA) molecules are approximately 80 nucleotides in length. Their secondary structure includes four short double-helical elements and three loops (D, anti-codon, and T loops).
Source: RNAcentral